AGGGGUGUAGCUCAACUGGUAGAGCAGCGGAUUCCAAAUCCGCAGGUUUCGGGUUCGAGUCCCGCCGCCCCUGCC
Molecule: transfer RNA, 75 nt
Filed under: Deltaproteobacteria bacterium ADurb.Bin207
Lineage: Bacteria; Deltaproteobacteria
Description: tRNA-Trp
Rfam family: tRNA
About the family: Transfer RNA (tRNA) molecules are approximately 80 nucleotides in length. Their secondary structure includes four short double-helical elements and three loops (D, anti-codon, and T loops).
Source: RNAcentral